RNAcentral lists this ribosomal RNA (54 nucleotides) under Fusarium equiseti. Its description in RNAcentral is "partial 18S ribosomal RNA". The record is from RNAcentral. Lineage: Eukaryota; Fungi; Ascomycota; Sordariomycetes; Hypocreales; Nectriaceae.
ACCUAUACGUUGCCUCGGCGGAUCACCCGCGCCCCGUAAAAAGGGACGGCCCGC